ACUUGGGUAGUUUAGUUUAAAAAUUUUGAUUUGUGGUGUCAAAGAGAUAGAUAUAUCUAUUCCAGGUC
RNAcentral lists this transfer RNA (68 nucleotides) under Neoperla sp. FS-2017. Its description in RNAcentral is "tRNA-His". Lineage: Eukaryota; Metazoa; Arthropoda; Insecta; Plecoptera; Perlidae. The record is from RNAcentral.